UUCUGUUCCUUUUUCCUCUUCUCUGUCCUUUUCAAUUUCAAUAGAUUGAAUUAAGAGAGGAUUCAUAGAAAAUUAAUACUGAUGUGUUGAGGGAGAGAGUUGUUGAUGGAGCCAUAGUUGAUUGAACGCAGAACUGUGUUGAGUUAGGGAGAGUGUUCUAAGAAAAAUAUGAUGUUUUUACAGAUAAGAUUAACGUUUCAAUGAGAAUCGAUAAUGGAGAUAAAAUUUACGAAUCUGAGAUUUAGAGAAACGGAAUGGAAUCAGGGAUAGUUGAUGGUCAUGGUGUCGAUCCGUCUGUUGAUUCAAACUCAACAGAAAGGAGUUACGGUUAGUGAUUGCAUUUGGGUUCAGUGGCAUAAGUGAUAUCGAAGGUUUUGACUGUUCCAGUUUUCCAAUUAGAAGUGCUGGAGAAAUCUUGUCUUUCUCGACGGAAGGAUGGGUUGCACCAAAACUCCCUAGAAGGGCUGACAAGUUCAUGCUCUAUAUACUUAGUGCUGGGAAGAAAGCUCUGGCUGAUGGUGGGAUCUCGAAAGAGGUCAUGAAUGAACUGGAUAAAACUAGGCCAAUGUCUGUCAUGCUUAUCAAGUCCUGGAAAGAGGUGGAGUAAAAAAGGAAAUUACUGUCGUUUUCAUGUAUGAUGACAUCGUGCUCAAUGAGAAAACUCUAGGCCUGGUGUCAUUAUUAACCACCCUAAAGGUGAAGACGUUUAUGCUGGAGUGCCAAAGGAUUAUGUAGGGCGCUGUGUUACUGGUCACAACUUUUACUCAGUUCUCCUUGGAAACAAAACUGCUGUUAAAGGGGGUAGUUGAAAGGUUAUUGAUAGUGGUCCGAAUGAUCACAUCUUUAUCUUAAAAUUUGUUUUCUUAAUGCUUGUAAGGAAGAUCUAUACAUGAUGCAGUCGUUGUUCUCGCAGCUCAUGUGUAGCCGCUAAACUUUACAAAUAAUUUUUUGCCAAAUUGCUAAUGUUCCGAUUAACUUGCAAAACAGAAUCAUGAUGGAUUUGUUAUGGGAGAAGGAGCUGGAGUUCUACUUUUUGAAGAAUUAGACCAUGCGAAGAUAAUUUGUUGUUUCAUUUGAAAGUGUCAUUGUUGAAUUGCUAAUGUUUAUAGCAUCUGAUUUCUUUUGGCUGUGCAAUACAGAAAAGAGGAGCAACUAUCUAUGAUGAGUUUCUUGGCGAAAGCUUUACUUCUGAUGCUUAUCAUAUGACCGAGCCUCAUCCAGAAGGAAAAGGUGAUGUUCUUUGUAUAGAGAAGGCCUUAGAUGGAUCUGGGGUUUCCCAAGUCCAUGAUCGAUCACCUAUUAGGAGCAGCUGGUCUUGUGGAAGCUGUUGCGUUGGUGCUGUGGAAGCUGUUGCAGCUGGUGCCUUUUUUUUGUUUUCAUGCCAUCAGGUGUGUUUAAAGUUUGUCCCAAACUUUAUACAGGCACUUUAGAUGUUUUUAAGCUUAGUUACUACCUUUUUGAACUCUCUGGGUGUUGUUCUGUUGCCCAGAUUUCUGUUUCAAAAACAGUAAAACAUGCAUAUUACAUGCAUAUUUGUAAGUUUCAAUGGAAAACUUUGUUAUGAAUGCAAGUUUCUAUUAUUAAA
Molecule: long non-coding RNA, 1585 nt
Organism: Papaver somniferum (opium poppy)
Lineage: Eukaryota; Viridiplantae; Streptophyta; Magnoliopsida; Ranunculales; Papaveraceae
Exons: 6
Source: RefSeq, a predicted model, not a curated record